GACGAACGCUGGCGGCGUGCCUAAUACAUGCAAGUCGAGCGGACCGAAGGGAGCUUGCUCCUUUAGGUUAGCGGCGGACGGGUGAGUAACACGUGGGCAACCUGCCCUGCAGACUGGGAUAACUUCGGGAAACCGAAGCUAAUACCGGAUAACACCGAAAACCGCAUGGUUUUCGGUUGAAAGGCGGCUUUUAGCUGUCACUGCAGGAUGGGCCCGCGGCGCAUUAGAUAGUUGGUGGGGUAACGGCCUACCAAGUCGACGAUCGGUAGCCGAACUGAGAGGUUGAUCGGCCGCAUUGGGACUGAGACACGGCCCAG
Molecule: ribosomal RNA, 317 nt
Filed under: uncultured bacterium
Lineage: Bacteria
Description: bacterial SSU rRNA
Rfam family: Bacterial small subunit ribosomal RNA
Source: RNAcentral